GCCUUCGUGGUGUAACGGUUAGCACAUUUGGCGCAUAUUCGAGAGGUCCAGGUUCGAAUCCUGGCGAAGGUG
RNAcentral lists this transfer RNA (72 nucleotides) under Stegodyphus mimosarum. It matches the Rfam family "tRNA". Rfam says of the family: Transfer RNA (tRNA) molecules are approximately 80 nucleotides in length. Their secondary structure includes four short double-helical elements and three loops (D, anti-codon, and T loops). The record is from Rfam by way of RNAcentral. Lineage: Eukaryota; Metazoa; Arthropoda; Arachnida; Araneae; Eresidae.